RNAcentral lists this ribosomal RNA (643 nucleotides) under uncultured Actinomycetes bacterium. Its description in RNAcentral is "bacterial SSU rRNA". It matches the Rfam family "Bacterial small subunit ribosomal RNA", at positions 232 to 885 of the family's 1533-position model. The record is from RNAcentral. Lineage: Bacteria; Bacillati; Actinomycetota; Actinomycetes.
AUUGGCCUAUCAGCUUGUUGGUGAGGUAACGGCUCACCAAGGCGACGACGGGUAGCCGGCCUGAGAGGGCGACCGGCCACACUGGGACUGAGACACGGCCCAGACUCCUACGGGAGGCAGCAGUGGGGAAUAUUGCACAAUGGGCGAAAGCCUGAUGCAGCGACGCCGCGUGAGGGAUGACGGCCUUCGGGUUGUAAACCUCUUUCAGCAGGGAAGAAGCGCAAGUGACGGUACCUGCAGAAGAAGCACCGGCUAACUACGUGCCAGCAGCCGCGGUAAUACGUAGGGUGCGAGCGUUGUCCGGAAUUAUUGGGCGUAAAGAGCUUGUAGGCGGUUUGUCGCGUCUGCUGUGAAAAUCCGGGGCUCAACCCCGGACUUGCAGUGGGUACGGGCAGACUAGAGUGUGGUAGGGGAGACUGGAAUUCCUGGUGUAGCGGUGAAAUGCGCAGAUAUCAGGAGGAACACCGAUGGCGAAGGCAGGUCUCUGGGCCAUAACUGACGCUGAGAAGCGAAAGCAUGGGGAGCGAACAGGAUUAGAUACCCUGGUAGUCCAUGCCGUAAACGUUGGGCGCUAGGUGUGGGACUCAUUCCACGAGUUCCGUGCCGCAGCUAACGCAUUAAGCGCCCCGCCUGGGGAGUACGG